ACUUUAAGUUAUAAUUUAAAGCAAUACCUGCUCAAUGUAAAUAUAAAUAGCCGCAGUUUACUGUGGUAAGGUAGCAUAAUCAUUAGCUUUUUAAUUAAAAGAUAGAAUGAAAGGUACAACGAAAUAUAAAUUUUCUCUAAAAAUUAUAAUAAAUUUAAAAUAAUAGUUAAAAUUCUUUUAAAAAUGAGAAAGGCGAUAAGACCCUAAUAAACUCAACAUUUUGUUGGGGCGGCACUAAUUAAAAAUACCUUAUUAUUAUAAUUUUAAACUAUCUAAUUAUAUUAAAUAAAGUUCCAUAGGGAUAACAGCGCAUUAUUUUUUUAAAGAUCAUAUAAAAAAAAAUAUUUACGACCUCGAUUUUG
Molecule: ribosomal RNA, 362 nt
Filed under: Psilochorus sp. Br11-40
Lineage: Eukaryota; Metazoa; Arthropoda; Arachnida; Araneae; Pholcidae
Description: partial 16S ribosomal RNA
Source: RNAcentral